GCACUCACUUUGGCAGCACAUAUAUUAAAGUUGGAGUGAUACAGAGAAAAUUAGCAUGGCCCUUGUGCAAAGAUGACAAGCAAAUUCAUGAAGCAUUCCAUAAAAAA
Molecule: small nuclear RNA, 107 nt
Organism: Ictidomys tridecemlineatus (thirteen-lined ground squirrel)
Lineage: Eukaryota; Metazoa; Chordata; Mammalia; Rodentia; Sciuridae
Source: Ensembl